RNAcentral lists this small RNA (163 nucleotides) under Arabidopsis thaliana (thale cress). Its description in RNAcentral is "ATSL216760". The record is from RNAcentral. Lineage: Eukaryota; Viridiplantae; Streptophyta; Magnoliopsida; Brassicales; Brassicaceae.
AAUGGACAUAUAUAACCCAAUUGACAAAAAAAUGUGUGGCUUCAACGUCCGCUAAAAUAUUUAGACAAUGAUUCGGAAUCAUAUCAUAAAUAAGAUCAACAUUAAUAAAAUAAAUUGUUUUUGGCAGGAUGUAUUUGACGGGACGGAUUUUUGAAUCAAUAUU